AGUGAACGCUGGCGGUAGGCCUAACACAUGCAAGUCGAACGGCAGCACAUUAAGAGCUUGCUCUUACGGGUGGCGAGUGGCGGACGGGUGAGGAAUACAUCGGAAUCUACUUUUUCGUGGGGGAUAACGUAGGGAAACUUACGCUAAUACCGCAUACGACCUACGGGUGAAAGCAGGGGAUCUUCGGACCUUGCUCGAUUGAAUGAGCCGAUGUCGGAUUAGCUAGUUGGCGGGGUAAAGGCCCACCAAGGCGACGAUCCGUAGCUGGUCUGAGAGGAUGAUCAGCCACACUGGAACUGAGACACGGUCCAGACUCCUACGGGAGGCAGCAGUGGGGAAUAUUGGACAAUGGGCGCAAGCCUGAUCCAGCCAUACCGCGUGGGUGAAGAAGGCCUUCGGGUUGUAAAGCCCUUUUGUUGGGAAAGAAAAGCAGCAGGUUAAUACCCCGCUGUUCUGACGGUACCCAAAGAAUAGGCACCGGCUAACUUCGUG
This 492-nucleotide ribosomal RNA is filed under the name uncultured bacterium. RNAcentral's name for it is "partial 16S ribosomal RNA". It matches the Rfam family "Bacterial small subunit ribosomal RNA", at positions 29 to 507 of the family's 1533-position model. The record is from RNAcentral.